CGCAGCCGCGGUAAUUCCAGCUCCAAUAGCGUAUAUUAAAGUUGUUGCAGUUAAAAGCUCGUAGUUGAAUUUCGGGAUCAAUAUUUCGGUCAUGCCGUUGGUAUGCACUGUUAUCAUUGAUUUCUCACCUUCUAAAGAACCGUAAUGCCAUUAAUUUGGUGUUACGGGGAAUUAGGACUGUUACCUUGAAAAAUUGAGUGUUUAAAGCAGGCUCACGCUUGAAUACACUAGCAUGGAAUAAUGAAAUAGGACAUCCGAUUCUACUUUGUUGGUUUCUAGGAUCGAUGUAAUGAUUAAUAGGGAUAGUUGGGGGCAUUAGUAUUCAAUUGUCAGAGGUGAAAUUCUUGGAUUUAUUGAAGACUAACUACUGCGAAAGCAUUUGCCAAGGAUGUUUUCAUUAAUCAAGAACGAAAGUUAGGGGAUCGAAGACGAUCAGAUA
Molecule: unclassified non-coding RNA, 439 nt
Filed under: uncultured Archaeospora
Lineage: Eukaryota; Fungi; Glomeromycota; Glomeromycetes; Archaeosporales; Archaeosporaceae
Description: SSU rRNA
Rfam family: Eukaryotic small subunit ribosomal RNA
Source: RNAcentral